AGCAGCCGCGGUAAUUCCAGCUCCAAUAGCGUAUAUUAAAGUUGUUGCAGUUAAAAAAGCUCGUAGUUGAAUUUCGGGAUCAAUUUGUCGGUCGUGCCUCGGUACGUACUGGUAUUAUUGAUUCCUACCUUCUGACGAACCAUGAUGUCAUUAAUUUGGUGUCAUGGGGAAUCAGGACUGUUACUUUGAAAAAAAUUAGAGUGUUUAAAGCAGGCUCACGCUUGAAUACAUUAGCAUGGAAUAACGAAAUAGGACGUUUGAUUCUAUUUUGUUGGUUUCUAGGAUCGACGUAAUGAUUAAUAGGGAUAGUUGGGGGCAUUAGUAUUCAAUUGUCAGAGGUGAAAUUCUUGGAUUUAUUGAAGACUAACUACUGCGAAAGCAUUUGCCAAGGAUGUUUUCAUUAAUCAAGAACGAAAGUUAGGGGAUCGAAGACGAUCAGAUACCGUCGUAGUCUUAACCAUAAACUAUGCCGACUAGGGAUCGGAUGAUGUAAUUUUUAAUGACUCAUUCGGCGCCUUAA
This 520-nucleotide ribosomal RNA is filed under the name uncultured Glomus. RNAcentral describes it as "SSU rRNA". It matches the Rfam family "Eukaryotic small subunit ribosomal RNA", at positions 569 to 1091 of the family's 1831-position model. Lineage: Eukaryota; Fungi; Glomeromycota; Glomeromycetes; Glomerales; Glomeraceae. The record is from RNAcentral.